CUCUGGGGUAGUGUUGGGACCGCCCCCGCUCAGCAACGCGUCCGUGUCUCUGAGUUGGUCCCGCGCGCGUUUGGUGCGGCUGGGGCCGGAAAUCCCCGGCAGGAGGUGAGAGACAGAGCCGAGUGGGGGCCAACAAUGCUGAGAAAAAAAUGCGCAAGACCCACAAUAUUAACUUCUUCAGAAAAGAAAACCAGGAGACAAAUUAUUGAUAAAAAGGUGGCGUACACAAGGAUAUACUUGGGAAAUCAAAUUGGCCGAUGGCUGACCUUAAGGGAAAAACUGGAUUUCAAAAGUGACACAGACCUUGCAGGAUUUUUGCUGGAUCUCUAUGACAACGAUGGUCCAUUACCUAAAGAAGCAGCAGUCUCCUUACCUGAAGAUAUGAGAAUCGUAACUGCGAAAGAAGAAAGAGAUUUACAUGAUGACUCCUCUUCAGCUGUUGGAAUAUGUGACAGUGAGGACCGACUGACUGCAGAAUCAGCCUGUUCUUUACCACAAAGUAGGGGAAUCAGAACCGUGAAAGAAGAGAGGCAUUUGCAGGAUGACUCCUCUUCAGUACAGAGUGAUGAAAAAUAAGUCAGCAUUCAUACAAUGAGGUUUCCUGGUAUUCAGGUGAAGAUUCUCCUAUUGGCUCUGAAUCUGACCUUUCAGAAAGGUAAAAUUAUUUAAUACAGAAGGUAUUUCCUUUGUGCAUAGUAUAAAUUGGUACUUUGAAGAGCAGUGUAUUUUAUAUUGUUUGUAAAGUAUUUACUAAAUAUUCUUAUUAAAGGAAUAUUAAAAUU
Long non-coding RNA from Emys orbicularis (European pond turtle), 782 nucleotides. RefSeq lists it as uncharacterized. The transcript has 5 exons. Lineage: Eukaryota; Metazoa; Chordata; Testudines; Emydidae. The record is from RefSeq and is a predicted model, not a curated record.